This 417-nucleotide ribosomal RNA is filed under the name Shigella flexneri. RNAcentral describes it as "bacterial SSU rRNA". It matches the Rfam family "Bacterial small subunit ribosomal RNA", at positions 36 to 449 of the family's 1533-position model. RNAcentral also lists the same sequence under 1 other name. Lineage: Bacteria; Pseudomonadati; Pseudomonadota; Gammaproteobacteria; Enterobacterales; Enterobacteriaceae. The record is from RNAcentral.
CUGGCGGCAGGCCUAACACAUGCAAGUCGAACGGUAACAGGAAGCAGCUUGCUGUUUCGCUGACGAGUGGCGGACGGGUGAGUAAUGUCUGGGAAACUGCCUGAUGGAGGGGGAUAACUACUGGAAACGGUAGCUAAUACCGCAUAACGUCGCAAGACCAAAGAGGGGGACCUUCGGGCCUCUUGCCAUCGGAUGUGCCCAGAUGGGAUUAGCUAGUAGGUGGGGUAACGGCUCACCUAGGCGACGAUCCCUAGCUGGUCUGAGAGGAUGACCAGCCACACUGGAACUGAGACACGGUCCAGACUCCUACGGGAGGCAGCAGUGGGGAAUAUUGCACAAUGGGCGCAAGCCUGAUGCAGCCAUGCCGCGUGUAUGAAGAAGGCCUUCGGGUUGUAAAGUACUUUCAGCGGGGAGGAA